UAAGCCGUAUGCCAACAAAACAAUAAAAAUAAAAGGGAAUCUUGUUGAUAAGGUUUCAUCUGUAUACCCUUAGGGUUUGUUGUGACCUAAUGUGCUCUUUUACGCCCUUAAGAAGGCGAUCUGUAACGCUGCUUCCCACAGGAAGUCUUUGCUCUUUGCCGGCCACAUGCCCAAUGGAGAGAGAAAAAUGGCAGCAUACCACUUGGAUUACAUUCACAUUGCAACUAGUGGCUGUUAGAGAGUAUUGUGGAGAAAGCUCCAGUUUUGUUGAUGAGAAACUUUUCAAUCGUGGUAGCCAACUAUGCCUUGAAGUCCUGAAGACCUACAAGGCUUUGACACAUUUACAUUGCUCUGCUUCCAUGAUGGGAUGGGCGGUUUUGGUAAAGAUGGAUCAGGAACAUAGAUAUAUACAUCCUUAUUUCCUGAUGUGGUAGGGUUGAAUUCCUUACAUUAGUGGUAGCUAUUUAGUUGGCAUGCUUAGCUGUUUAGUUGGCACGCUAAACUGUUUAGUUGGCAUGCUUAGCUAUUUAGUUGGCACGCUAAACUGUUUAGUUGGCAUGCUUAGCUAUUUAGUUGGCACGCUAAGCUGUUUUGUUGGCAUGCUUAGCUAUUUAGUUGGCACGCUAAACUGUUUUGUUGGCAUGCUAAACUGUUUUGUUGGCAUGCUUAGCUAUUUAAUUGACACGCUAAGCUGUUUAGUUGGCAUGCUUGAUAUAAUCUUAUUGCUUUAGUUAUGAUUGGCUUGAGAUCUAUUUUUGAUGUUUCAUAAAAAAAUGUAUGAAAUGACAUCAGUCACUAUAUUGAAAGUAUUAAUAGAAUGUAUCAAAACAACACGUGGUUAAACACUUUA
This is a long non-coding RNA of Cryptomeria japonica (Japanese cedar), 850 nucleotides long. RefSeq lists it as uncharacterized. The record is from RefSeq and is a predicted model, not a curated record. The transcript is spliced from 2 exons. Lineage: Eukaryota; Viridiplantae; Streptophyta; Pinopsida; Cupressales; Cupressaceae.